ACGCUGGCGGCAGGCCUAACACAUGCAAGUCGAGCGGAUGAAGGGAGCUUGCUCCUGGAUUCAGCCGCGGACGGGUGAGUAAUGCCUAGGAAUCUGCCUGGUAGUGGGGGAUAACGUCCGGAAACGGGCGCUAAUACCGCAUACGUCCUGAGGGAGAAAGUGGGGGAUCUUCGGACCUCACGCUAUCAGAUGAGCCUAGGUCGGAUUAGCUAGUUGGUGGGGUAAAGGCCUACCAAGGCGACGAUCCGUAACUGGUCUGAGAGGAUGAUCAGUCACACUGGAACUGAGACACGGUCCAGACUCCUACGGGAGGCAGCAGUGGGGAAUAUUGGACAAAGGGCGAAAGCCUGAUCCAGCCAUGCCGCGUGUGUGAAGAAGGUCUUCGGAUUGUAAAGCACUUUAAGUUGGGAGGAAGGGCAGUAAGUUAAUACCUUGCUGUUUUGACGUUACCAACAGAAUAAGCACCGGCUAACUUCGUG
Molecule: ribosomal RNA, 479 nt
Filed under: uncultured bacterium
Lineage: Bacteria
Description: partial 16S ribosomal RNA
Rfam family: Bacterial small subunit ribosomal RNA
Source: RNAcentral